RNAcentral lists this transfer RNA (78 nucleotides) under Deltaproteobacteria bacterium. Its description in RNAcentral is "tRNA-Pro". It matches the Rfam family "tRNA". From Rfam's summary of the family: Transfer RNA (tRNA) molecules are approximately 80 nucleotides in length. Their secondary structure includes four short double-helical elements and three loops (D, anti-codon, and T loops). Further hydrogen bonds mediate the characteristic L-shaped molecular structure. tRNAs have two regions of fundamental functional importance: the anti-codon, which is responsible for specific mRNA codon recognition, and the 3' end, to which the tRNAs corresponding amino acid is attached (by aminoacyl-tRNA synthetases). tRNAs cope with the degeneracy of the genetic code in two manners: having more than one tRNA (with a specific anti-codon) for a particular amino acid; and 'wobble' base-pairing, i.e. permitting non-standard base-pairing at the 3rd anti-codon position. Lineage: Bacteria; Pseudomonadati; Myxococcota; Myxococcia. The record is from RNAcentral.
CGGGAUGUGGCUCAGUCUGGCUAGAGUGCAGCGUUCGGGACGCUGAGGCCGCGCGUUCGAAUCGCGCCAUCCCGACCA